RNAcentral lists this ribosomal RNA (514 nucleotides) under Clostridium butyricum. Its description in RNAcentral is "bacterial SSU rRNA". It matches the Rfam family "Bacterial small subunit ribosomal RNA", at positions 37 to 568 of the family's 1533-position model. Lineage: Bacteria; Bacillati; Bacillota; Clostridia; Eubacteriales; Clostridiaceae. The record is from RNAcentral.
UGGCGGAGUGCUUAACACAUGCAAGUCGAGCGAUGAAGCUUNUUCGGNAGUGNAUUAACGGCGGACGGGUGANUAACACGUGGGUNACCUGCCUCAUANAGGGGAAUAGCCUUUCNAAAGGAANAUUAAUACCGCAUAAGAUUGUAGUACCGCAUGGUACAGCAAUUAAAGGAGUAAUCCGCUAUGAGAUGGACCCGCGUCGCAUUAGCUAGUUGGUGAGGUAACGGCUCACCAAGGCGACGAUGCGUAGCCGACCUGAGAGGGUGAUCGGCCACAUUGGGACUGAGACACGGCCCAGACUCCUACGGGAGGCAGCAGUGGGGAAUAUUGCACAAUGGGGGAAACCCUGAUGCAGCAACGCCGCGUGAGUGAUGACGGCCUUCGGGUUGUAAAACUCUGUCUUUGGGGACGAUAAUGACGGUACCCAAGGAGGAAGCCACGGCUAACUACGUGCCAGCAGCCGCGGUAAUACGUAAGUGGCAAGCGUUGUCCGGAUUUACUGGGCGUAAAGGGA